AGAAUAGAAUGCCUCUUCCUCCAUUCUUUGUUAGGCUAACAUCUCAUCUUACAAGCCAUGCUCAGGUGCCAUAGUUCCAGGAAGCUGUCCCUGCCCCCAUAGCCAUCCCUCUUGGGGUCUUCCUCUGGGGUCCCAUAGCACUCUAAGCUUACCUCUAUCCUAUUAAAUAAAAGUCACCUGCUUAUCCGCCAGCCUCCCCCUUGAGGAUGUGAACUCUCUACAGAUAGGGAGGGAACUGUCUUCAUGACCUUACCAAGCAUACAGCCUGGCACACAAUGGCACACUGAACACACGUGUGUCGAAUGAAUGAAUACGCUACACUCUUGUAUGGGAGUGAGUCCCAUGAAAUGAAGCUGCUUUCCGAAAAGUAAAAGGAUACCAAGAUAGUUUCAAACAGACAUACACUGUCCCAGAAUUCUUCCUGAAGCAGACGGCGUCACAGCAAGGCUGCAAUUAUAGACAUGCGCACACAUUGUUUAAAAAAAUUCAUAGAAUGCACUUCACACUGACUUUUUUUUUCUUAUUGGAAACCUGUUUACAAUCUUGUCCACUGUCAGUCUUAAAUGUCACUUUUCAGAAAGCUGGCUGCUGCCAGCAGAAAUUUAUUUUCAACUUGAAUCACAGCAUGUUCAUGCAGAGAAGCGCCUCUUUUGAAUCUCCAAAUUGGAGGGAAUUCAGGGAAGAGAAAGUGAGGUGAUUAGAAUCUGCAGAGGCCGACUCAGGAAGAAAAAUUAUGAGGCUAAAAUAUGCAUGUGUGAGCUAAACAGCAGCUAUUAGUUGGUGGAGGUGGCAAUGGUGGGGAUGGCAACUACCUAGAAACCUACCAGGACAGUGAGGCUGCAUAGCAACACGUGGAAACAAGGAAGCGGGAGCGGGAGGAAGAAACAGUGAGGGAAGCCCAGGCACCAGGAAGGACGCGUGCAUUUACAGACGGCCCUCCUGUGCCAGGUGCUGCCGAAGAGGCCGUCCUUCACUCAGCCUUUGCCCAGCAGCUAUCAUUAUUCCUAUUUUAAAGGUGAAGAACAGAUGAAGAAACUGAGGCUCAGAGGUUAAUUUGCUUUCCAACACAGAGCUGGGCAAAUGCCUCCUCCUCUUCCUUCAAGGCCCAGCCAGUGUUGCCUCCCAUGUGACCUGAAGCCUCCUUCCCGGAACCAGCGGCAGAGCACCCACAGACAUCCAGCCAGCAGCUCCCACAGGGUGUCCUCCUGCUGGGUACGGGGCAGCCUCUGCCACUAGAUGGGAUCUCAAGGCAGACACCAUUACUCAUUCACCUCUAGAUCCUAUCCGCCAGCACAAGGCUUAGCCUGGACAGGGCUGCAAUGAAUGCUUGCUGGAGUAAACACAUGGACAAUGGAGUCAUGAUGUGAACCCUGCUUGUUCAAUUGUGAGACAGUGCUUCCCCCUCCCCCAGCUGCCUCCGAGCCUCCCUCUUGUUCUCCCUGGAGGGAGUCAGGCUGGGUAGCAGAAGUGGUUACAAGACCAGAGGGAGCAUGGACAAUGGUAAUAAAUAUGUAAAAUCCAGAAUUCAUUACAUCCAGCUAAUUCCAAAUGCAAAAGACACCACAGCCUCUGAGACAGAUCCCAAUGAGGGAGUCUGAUUUGUAACUGACAAUUUGAAAAGUGGACCAGAAUUGUUUGGUCUAAAUCAUGAAAUCAUUCUCUUCUUGAUGGGCAAGAUUAGUAAAUACACAACCUCUACUAAUUUGGGGCUCAAGGGCUUAUCCCCCAGCCUGCCUCAGUUUUAGUUCUGUAAGAGACCCUCUGUGAGGUCCUUAGGGGGCCUCCCCACUCCACGUCCCUGGACUAGAGACCCUCUGGACAUGAACCUCAAAUCUCCAAAGCAGAGGAUGUAGUUCUCUUAAGGAGACAGCAUUAAAGCGAGACGUUAACAUUACAUAAAGUAAACUCUGUCCUCUGGGGGAGAGAUGCUCCACAAACCGAGAUAAAGUGAGUAUCCCUCAUGCGGUGCGCUUGAAAACAGGCACCUUUGCGUGGUGCCUGCCUUCAUCUAUCAUCCCCAAAGAAAGGGAGAGAGGGCCUGCCGAGCCACCCGGGAAAGACAGCUAAUGCUUACAAUUCGGCCAGGCAGGAGGUCUGCAAAUGCUCCCCUCUGGCCUCCCACACUCAAAACAUUUCCUAUAGCGAAGGCUUCAAAGGUAGAGAAGCGAAUAAAGAUUUCCCCUCUGCCCUAUGCCAGCUGAGAGAAUAUCUUCCUCUUCCCUCUGUUACACACACACACACACACACAUCCACACACCUCAGACACGCACACAUACAGCUGCAGGCGAGAACCAAAACCACAGACCUAGCUCGAAUGGAGGGGACUAUGUUUGAGACCACAGAUAAAGGUCAUGCCAAAAGCAAGUGAUCUGAAGUUAGAAGUUCUAGUCCUAUUCCCAAAACUUACUAUGAUGAAAGGAGAGUAAGGGAGAGAGAGUUUAGGUGGAGGCACUCCGUGUGAGCCGCUAGCACAGCAGUGGCACACACAGGAAAUGCUUCCAUCCAUGAAUCCUGGCACUGAGUAGAUGAUCCUGACCAGGUCUCCACCACUAGCUGCAGGAAGCCUCAUCCUUCGGCAAGAGCAAUGAGAAAUGGCCUGAAGGGCACUGAACUUUUUCCUCGCCUAAGUCCCCCAACUUUUUCUCUAUUAACUCUGCCUCAGUGGCAUAAGCUCCAAAUAAAUUUCUUCCUCUGCCUGUGGUACCGAAGGCCCCAGUUACAGCUUGUUGUUGUUUCACAUAAAAGUCAAGUUUGGCUCUUAUCAGUCACUAACACUAGUGAAAAUUAGUUCAUCCAUUUGGUGUCUAAAAGCAGUGAAGGGCAAGUUUCUUUUAUUAAUAGGUGGUCAGGUGGCUUGGGAGUGGGGCUUGGGUUCAGUGGGACGAGGCUACUUUAGACACAGCACAAGCUGGUGUCAGUGAGAUAACUGGAGAAACUCAGUCUCCUUAUGGGCAAAAUGGAAAAACACGGGCUGAACAGCCACAGCUAGACAGUGGGUUAGUAGCUGUUGUCAACACUGCUGGUGAAGGUGCUUUGUACGCUCCCUGCAUGUUCUGAUCCCAACCGACAUCAUCAGUAGUCACCUAGGUUAAAACACAGAAAACGCUGAUAAAAUCUGUAAAGAAGCUGGUGACAAAAAGGACCAGAAAAAUUCUCAGGAGACUGGAACAAUAGGCUGAAACUAACAAGUUGAGGUGUAUUUGGGACAAUUGUGAAUUCCUACACUUUGGUUAAAAAAAAUCACCUUUAGAAGUACUAGUUAAGGCCGGCCUGUUUUGAAAACAAUUUCCAUGGUAGGUGUACAAGGUGCAAAGUUUUAUGUUUAAUACAUGGUUCAGCAAUGGCCAGUGUAGGAUAUAGUUCAAACAAAAGAAUAAUGCGACCCACUACAUUCACAGAAGUAGAAAAUCCUGAGCUGUACUCAAGUGUGGUGGAGUCCAUUAGAAACAGGAAUAUAUCAGCCAGGCAAGGUGGCUCACGCCUGUAAUCCCAGCACAGUCGGAGGCGGAGGUGGGCAAAUCACCUGAGGUCAGGAGUUAGAGACCAGCCUGGCCAACAUGGUAAAACCCCAUCUCUACUAAAAAUACCAAAAAAAUUAGCCAGGCGUGGUGGGGGGCACCUGUAAUCCCAGCUACUGGGGAGGGUGAGGCAGGAGAAUCGCUUGAACCCAGGGGACAGAGGUUAUAGUGAGCCAAGAUCAUGCCACUGCACUCCAGCCUGGGUGACAUAGCAAGACUCCAUCUAAAAAUAAAACAAAAAAACAAAAACAAAAACAAACCAGGAAUAUAAUGUGAGUCACAUACAUAAUUUUCAAUUGUCUAGUAGCACAUUAAAAAAAAAACAAGGUAAAUUAAUCUUCAUAAUGUAUUUUAUUUUAUACAAUAUAUGCUAUAAUUUCAAUACUUAAUCAAUAUAGAAAAUUAUUAAUGAGAGUUACGUUGUUUUUUUCAUCCUAGGCCACAGGAAACUGCUGUGUAUUCCGCCUUUGCGGCACAUCUCCCUUUGGGCGAGGCACAUUGCAAGUGCUCUGCAGCCACAUGUAGCCAGAGGCCACUGUACUGAAUGCGACAAGGCUGGAGUAGGGGUGGAGAUAAGUCCACUGCACUGUGUUCUCAACAGAACCACAUCCAGAAUAUCUGGUAUUUCAGGCCUUUUAGGAGGGACAAUGAUAAACCAGAGCCUGGCUAAGACUAUCUGAAGGACUGGGAGUGAGAACGGUUAGUGGAAAAGAACUGGAUCCUUCUAGCACUAGUGGGGAAAUCACCAGCAAUGAUCCGGUGUUAUGUGGCUGCAGAGUGCAGAACUAGGACUAGGGCAUGAAAACUGUGAUGAUGGCAUUUGGGCCCUUUUUAGAAUGAGGUUCCCUGACACCAGAAGGAACGGUGUAGGCCAAGGCCAGACAGCCUGCAAAAGAGGCUAUCUGUGUGGAUAGAAAGCUGAUGUCCUCUCUGAUCUGAGGCUCUGAGAUGCUAAGUAACAACAUGAAGGAAAAUGACUGGCUGCCUAGCCAACAAACCAGAAUGUACACACCCAGAGACAUUUCCUCCUUCAGGUAGUCUUCUGGGAGGUCAAGGCUUGUUCUGGCCAGCCUCACAGGUAAUUCCAGUGGCUGGAUACCCGCAUUGUGGGGCCUUACCUUGCACAGCUGCUGCCUUCAAGGAGCUUAUAAGUGAGGGUCUGCCAUGAACGCUCUAGUAUAAUGUUAGCUUGCUGGGUCUCAGCUGACUAGUCAACAGAAAGAAGAAGAAGGGUCUCUGAGCUCCUCCCCACUUACAGAUCCUGUGUGACUGCUCUUCCUGCAUCUCACAGAAAAAGAACAUUUCCAGUUGUUCUCACGGACUUCAAGGCUAGAGGUCCUCCAGCCCAUCCAGGACCCUGGGAGCCCUAGAUCUCUCCAGCACUCUCCUUUGAAUGUCUAUCUACUAAUCAUCUCUACCUGAAUGUGCUGUGUCAACAUCAACGUGUCCCAAACCAAACUCCUUCUGUCCUCACCCUCCAACAUACUCCUCUGUAACCCUAGACUUGGGUGGAGUGGGAGGGGAGUUUGCUAUUGGGCCAGUUGGCUUUGUCUUUGACCACUGGGUGCUGGAUCUUACUACCUUACGGGAGAGGGACACGUAACUCUAAAGAAACAGCUGGAAGAGAAGAUUUCCGAGGGACUCCUUCAGAGCAAGAGAGGAAGACAGAGAUGAAUUCUACAUAGAAAGCCUGAGAAGGCCUCUCAGAGAUGGCUUCCUUGCCCUCCCCAGAUGUUCACAGGGUUAACUUAAAAACGAAGCAUCAUGGAGCUGGCAAAUCAUCUCUGCAUCCCAAAGACAGUGCGACAUGUGAUAAUGACUGUGAAGCGCAGCUAAGCCCGUUAGCAGGAAUGACCAGGGAGUGAGAGGCAGCGCUGGAGUGUCACCCUCCAACAUCGUCUCUUUGUUUGAGGAUCACUAGGAAAGGAGCCAUUAGAAAAACGCUAGCCUGGUAAUAGGAGGGAAAUGGAUCUUGGCAGGGCUGUGUUACCCAUUGAGAAAUUAGCAAAAAACAUUCAGGGAAGAAAGCAGGGGCUUCUGUGCUUACCCAUUGAGGCUCUUGGGGAAUAAUGACACAUGGUUACCACCUGAGGAACCCCUGCUGAGGCAGCUGACUUGCCCAGUGGUCUACUACAGGCUCAGGUGAGUAGGAGGGUCCUUCCCAGGAGGGGCAGUGAUGCUCAGGCAGGGCUGGGAUGCUCAGGCUCCUUGCAAGAGCUGAUCCUCAAGUCUGAACCACUCCCCAGGCACUGUGUCAGGUACUAGGGAUGGGGCCAUGACUAAGACACGGCUUCAUCCUCAGGAAGCUCACACUCCCUGACAUGGUGGCACUGGAGCCUUGAGGGAGGCAGGACAGACCUCAUCACCCCCAUUCCACAUCUGUGGGCAACCAGGGAGGUUGGGGGGAGACUUGGUUUCUUUGUGAAUCGAUUCUUUGCUACUUUGCUUAGCAUCAAGUUCCUCUUGUCAUGGCAAUCACUCAGAAUACUGAGAGGGUGAAAGAGGAUGGGCGGUGCAGCGGGUCCGGAUGAAAACUUGGAGGGGUGGGAACUGCUAUGAUGUCAACUGACAGUGCCCAGAGAGCGGGGCCAUCACACCAGAAAUGCCUGCUCCAUUGCCACUUCUCUCAGAUGUCAGACACUCCUUCAUCCAGAAGACAUCCACAGAGUGUCCGUUACAGGGAGUCCCUGCCCUAUGCUCUUCCAUCCAGUGUGGUGAAGAAUCUCUAGUCCCCAGAGGAAUUUGGCUUGGAUCAGGGAUCUGAUUUCUGGGGGUCAAAUUUAGACACUUUGCCCCUAGUGGUACCGAAGAAUAGCCCGAGAAGCCCAGCUGCGGGUGAUGAAUUGUCACUCAGGGACUACGAGUGGAGGCUGCCAGGGCGGAGGGGAAGGCAUGCACGCUGAAGCACCAGGCGACCAUUGCUUGGACCGCCCCCUCCAUUGCUUCACCAAUAGCUUCUGGCUCUCUUUCCUGAGAGCAAUUUGAAAGAAAAGCAAACAUCUUGGGAGAAGCUGGGAUGAUCUGUCUCUAGGACUCUAAAAAGACUCUGAGGUUUCUGGGGGGAACUUCUCUGCACCAGGGAUGCUACAUCCCAGGAAAACAGGGGUCUGGGCAAGUAGCCAGAGGCCCCCCACAUUUCCUAGAAGAAUGGCACAUUCCCCUAGGAAAUUGCUUUGAGUGGGCAGGGCUCAGGGUCUCUCAAAUGACAGCUGCUUCACUGUCAGGCGUUUUCAUGUCACCUUGUACUGCUGGAAGAGGCUCCAAAGAUGAGGCUGGAUGGCCUAGAGCUUCCUACUUGCUAAUAAAACUGACUUUUUUACACUGGCUGUCCAAAGGAACCUGGAGCAGUGCGAAGCAUAUGGGCCUGGAGUUGGCCUAAUCUGAGUUUAACUCCUGGUUUUGCCAUUCCCCGGAAGUCUGGAGGUCCUGGGAAUACACCCGCACCCUCUUGGAUCAAACCUGGGCCAUCUAUGAAGCUGGCAUGGUGGGGGUACGUCAGUUUCAUAGAUGAGACAACUGAGGCCAAAUGACUUUUAAGGGAUAGACCUAGGACUAGAAACCAGGACUCCUGAUACUGAGUUCAAGAUUUUCCAGAGCCUCUUAGGAGCCUUGGUCAGGGGUGGCUCAAGGUUACAGAACACACCCUUAAAAGUGCAGCUAAGAAUACGAUUUCCUUCUGGUCCUCAGAUGGAUCUUUAAGCCAGAUCAUCCCUAUUAAAGGAAACACAGUCUGAUGAUCCCAUUUCCUGGCCUAUGCACAAGUGCCUACUCUGCCUAGAAGCCUUACCCCACCUUCUAACUAUUCAAUAAGCUCCUAAUCAUCUUUUAGGACCUGCCUCACUUAUUACCUCUUCCACUGAGAAGCCUUCAGGCCCUUUUUUUGUACUUUUUUUUUUGAGACAGAGUCUUACUCUGUUGCCCAGGUUGGAGUGCAGUGGUGCAAUCUCAGCUCACUGCAACCUCUGCCUCCCGGGUUGAAGCGAUUCUCAUGCCUCAGCCUCCUGAGUAGCUGGAAUUACAGGUGUGUGCCACCACGCCAGGAUAAUUUUUGUAUUUUUAGUAGAGACGGGGUUUUGCCAUGUUGCCCAGGCUGGUCUUGAACUCCUGACCUCAGGUGAUCUGCCCAUCUUGGCCUCUCAAAGUGCUGGGAUUACAGGCACGAGCCACUGCACCUGGCCUUUUGUACUUCUCUUGUAUGUCUAUCUAUUAUGACCCAUCAUUGUCUCUUUCUCUCUCUCUCUCUCUCUCUCUCUCUCUUAUAAUGUCUGUUUCCCUCACAGGGCUUGAGGAGUUUGGGGACAAGGGGCCAUGCCUUAUUCACCUCUUUAUCACCAGUAGCCAGCAGUGCUGGACACUGGGAGCCAAACGAAUGUGUUGAGUGCAUGGUCUCAGUAAAUCCAGGAAUUCUGAGAGCUGGGAAUAGCUCUGAGAGGAUGAGCUUUCAUUAACACAUGCAGCUCUUCCCGCCUUGGGUGGACAUUCAAAUGGCCCAUGUGGCUAAGUCACAACACCACGAGUCAAAGGCCCACUUUCCUUCUCAAAGGAAACAUUUAAAAAACCACGGGUGUUACAAAUGGCCACUUUCUCCAGGAUGAAAGACAUCUGGGGGAGGAGGCAAAGAGGAGAGAGCAAAAUAUCAGGUCUGUGUGGUCACAGCCCAUGAUACUUCUACAUCUUGAGAGAACCCACCGAUCAAUAUGAAGCAAGUGAUUUCUCAAUUCCUUUAGAAGGACCGUAGGUUAGACUGUUAGAUUCUUUUAAAGACAAGCAAGAAUCCUGCUGUUACAGACUCCUCCAGUUCUUGUCCAUCCUUUUUCUUCUAACUCCCCACACUAAGCUAUCUUCAUGGCCCAUGACACGUAUGGAAAGUAACUAUCCAAGUAUUUUAAAGCACUAUUUUCCUAUUGUUAUAAUGGCCCCAAUAAGGGCACCAUUGUUCCUUAGCGGUAUACAUGCUUCAUUCUAGUAAUUAGCUGUCAGAGAGGACCCGACAGCAGCUUAAUGUUGUCCGCUCAAAUCAUAUUAAUGAAAUGCAAUCCACUCAAAUGUCCUGAAUGCAUAUCUGUAAUUGCGUUAAGCAGAGAGGCUGGGGACAUCAGGAUCAAACUUCAGUCUCUGAACAGAGCAUUACGAUCAAGCACAUUAAUCCAUUAUUUCUUCAGAAUCUGACAGCCAAUUAAUAUACCCGGCCUUCAUA
Molecule: long non-coding RNA, 8715 nt
Filed under: Homo sapiens (human)
Lineage: Eukaryota; Metazoa; Chordata; Mammalia; Primates; Hominidae
Description: HSALNT0155118
Source: RNAcentral